RNAcentral lists this long non-coding RNA (6296 nucleotides) under Gallus gallus (chicken). Its description in RNAcentral is "lncRNA (ENSGALG00010024337.1)". The stretch from base 1292 to 1362 matches the Rfam family "mir-137 microRNA precursor family". The record is from RNAcentral. Lineage: Eukaryota; Metazoa; Chordata; Aves; Galliformes; Phasianidae.
CUGAGAUUAUGUCAAAUUUCAGUGAUCGGAAAUGUCUUGCCCAAAAGCAAUUCCCGCUGGAAAAAGUCAAAAGGGUUCCUGGCAUUAAAAAGACCUUGCGUCAUUCCUGAUGAAAUUAGCAGCGUCGCAUGUUUAGGGACUGCUAUGGAUGCACUUUGGUCAAAGUGAAGAGGCAGGGAUUUGGGGUUUAAGCCCCCGUCUGGUCAGUAGCCGUCUGCUUUCACUGGCUGCGAACCCCGGGACCAGCACUUGAAAGCAUCUCAGACCCGCAGUCCAUUUUUUACUUGUCUUUAAGUGCAUGCGAUGGGAAUUGCUAACCUCGGCUAAGGAAAUUUCAUUUCCCCUAUCCUGCUAAACGGUUCUGGUCGACAUAUGUUUGUUAUCAGAGAGAAGUGCUAUGAACACAGAGCCAUUUUCUUAGCAGCUCUUUGACUCUGCGUUACCAUAGUCCCACACGGCAUUGGUCCUUUCCCGUUGGGAAGUCAUGAAUAAGAGACUAUGAGGCUUGCACGUCAGAUCUUCCUCAAUUAAUCCACCAUUAGCAUGUUUGGGAUCCUCUACUGGAUGGUUAACAGCAGCUUUGGUAACUGUAUGCUGUCCAUACCCAAUUAUGCUCUGCUAAAAAUGAACUCUGCAGAACAACCUUCCUGAGCUGUCAGUGUCUCCCGUUUUCCUAUUUUAACGCUUGUGUGUAGUGGCAGGCGACAGAUGGUGUAGAUCAGAUCGAUUUGAUUGCAUUAGACGAUUUUUUUUCCCUCCUCUCCCCCCCGACUCCUUUUCUGGAAGCCCACAUUCAGCUGAGAGGCGACCGCCGGGGACACGGGAAGCGAGAGCAGCCGCCGAGGUGCGAAUGCAGCGAGCCGCGGCCGUGGAGGCGCCGGGUCCUGCCCGGGUGGAUCCGUGCUAAUCCGGCGCCGGGAGGGAGCAGCUUCUGCCUCCCGGAGCCCGUCCCCAGCGCACGUCAGAUGACUCCCCGGUUUUACACACGGUUGGAGUUCUGCUCGAAACCUGGAUUUAAAGGGAAUCUGUUGCCGUGUGUGACAUCUCUUGCGAGCUCCCAGAGAGAACUGAUGGAGCAUACAGCUAGGGAAUAGGAUGCUGGAGAAGCUCAGGGGGAGACGCCAGGCAAUCACCAGGACGGGGAGGAACGGCGCUCGUUGGAUAUGGGACGAGAUCUCGCAGCCCUUGUGGAUUCUCCUUCCUCUAGAGGGGAAUUAUAGUUAUGGAUUUAUUGUCCCGGUGCAGCACUUCCACCAGCGGCAGCAGCAACAGCAGCAGCUUUCUGACUCUCUUCGGUGACGGGUAUUCUUGGGUGGAUAAUACGGAUUACGUUGUUAUUGCUUAAGAAUACGCGUAGUCGAGGAGAGUACCGGCGGCGGGCAGGCAGGCAGGCAGCGCGACCGCCCCCAGCCCUCCAGCUGGCUCCUACAGCCUCUAGUUGCCAAGGCUCCUGAAAGAGGGUCAGGGGUGACCUCUGAGCCCCUCUAAAACCAAAGCCUCAUGUCCAUGCUCGCUAACAUUACCAGUUCUGCAAGGGACUUGCAUCGUGCUGAAGUGUGGACACAUGAGAGGAGAACAACACAUCUAGUACGGCACAGCUUGGAGGAGUGGUAUUGUGUGCUCCAGAGAUGUGAGAGGAAUUGCAGGAUGAAAGCAGUGGGAAAGCUAAAAAUGAGAUUUGUGUGUACAAAACGAGAUGUUGGAGCCCCAUAUGCUUGGAGGUGAGCCCCAGACCUGCCCGUGGUCAGCACUCUCUGACUUCGGCCCCACCAUGUAGAUGGAGCAACGUCCUGUGUGCCCGGCUGCUGCAUGGAGCUGCCCAUGUGCUGGCACCCUGACCCAGCAGAGAUGCUGCCAGUGCCGGCUCCACCCUGCUCGCUGCUGCCUGCCCACCUGUCUCCUUCCCCCAAGCCAUGGCCCACACCACCACCACCACCGGCAUCUCCGUCGCUACCCACAGCACAAAUGCAACAUGGAACAGCGAGUGUGGCUUGAGCAGGCUGAGCUUGUUAAAAUUGCAGUUAAAUAAAUUGUAGGGCUGUAAUACUGGGAGGCUGAUUGGGAUCACAAGAUAUCGGUGUCAUAUCCUGUGGCUUUUAUGUAGUGAGAUGUAGAUUUUUGCCAUCACCAUCUGGCUAUCCAACAGAUAACAACCAGAGAAAAUGGACUUGCAAAUCUCCAGUUGUGAAUAACUGAUAUAUUGUUGCCAGUAAAACGAGGACCUGGUAAACUGCCAGAAGGAAAAGUUUUUUUGAGUAUGAUCAGACUUUUAAUAUGUGUCAGCUUUUGCCUAUGUGUAAAUUAAAGAAACUCCCUAAUUACCAUACAUUUUAAACAGUGUGUCUAGAGAACUCUGGUCCUGUAGAACCCAGAUGUGGCUAUGUUAUCAGCUUCAAAUUCAGGCAAGUAAAUAAAGUAGCAAAUGUACGACUCAACUGGUGUAUCUGCACAGUACAGAUCAUCUAGGUGUGGGUUAAAUGCUAUGAGGAAAGAACAAGAAAUAAGCAAAAAAUACAGUAGUGUAGAAUAUGCAUGUUCUUAACUUCUAGAAAAUCUCAACAGCUGGAAUUUUAGAAUGUGAUAUUUAGACAAAUGUAAAGAGAGAAACAGUGUGUUUUUCUCUGGAGAAAAAUGUAAUAGGUGUACAGAUCAAAUUAUAACACUUAGUCCUUCUAGGACAAAUUCCAGUUGGGGAUCGUGAAGUAAUCUGAAAAUAUUAAUGAUUUAGCCUCACAGCUAGAUUUCAGGUAGAUAAUAAUAAUUAUUGCUACAAAUAAUUUCCUUCAUUCUUGCUCUGAAAUGAAAAUUGAGGCAUAGAGGUUUUAUGUAUUUGUCCAAAGUCCAUUUUACUGCUGUAACCAUCCUUCUAUAGAUUUACUUCGUAUUAAGUAUGCCCUUUUCCAAAUAUUGUAUGUGAUAUACUAUUCAGUUCAUGAAUUCUAAAAAACAAGCAGCUGAUCUUCCUUAUGAAGCAGUGCCUGUGAACAUCUCCAUUUGCAUUUGAAUCCUCAAGCAGUGACAAUCCUGCUUAAAAAAAAAAAAGAAAAAGAAAAAGGGAAUGAUGAAAAUCAGAACAAAAUCUGUCAAGGGCCCAUCUGUGACUGCAUAUCAGAAUAUCACUAAGAUGCUCUGAGGAACAAAGUUGUCUCCAAGUCUAACACAUAGUGCUUUUGUCUACGGAAAUAAUUCAAGAUGGGUGAAAUGAGGGCAAAUAACAUGAAAAACUGUUUCCCUACUGAACAGUCCUGGAAAGCAGCACCUUUGUUUCAUGGAUAAUCUUGUUUGUGAUACACGUACCAGUGCUUAGAUACUAAAGGUUUUACAUGACGAAAUACUCAGCAUGCCCAUAUCUGCUUCAGAUAAGCAUGCAUAGCUGUUGCUUCCAGUCAAGAGUCAGGGAGCCAGGGGUCUUUGGCCCUGGCAGGUGAGAACUUGGGUUAGGUAUGUCUGUGGCAAGCUUUCAUAGCCUGCUACCUGAAGCACUGGGGAAACAAAAGGAUAGACUCCACCCUGGACUUAACAAUACUCUUGAAACCACAUCUAUUUCCUUCUAAAUAGGAACACAUAAAGUUAGGAAAACCUAUUUGUAAGCUAUUUAUAUGUCCUCUUCAGGAUCUGAAUUCCUGCAAGCCUUAGUCAUAGCUCUUUGCUCUCACAUAUGCAAUAUCUGGAACUGACAACUGGAAAUAGGAGAAACAUGGCAUUAAUGUUGUUCUAAUGCACUGUGGGUUUUUUUUCCUUCUAUUUCUUAACUGUUACAGUAUGCAAAUAUUUAGUUAACUGGUCCUCAUGGUUUCUUUUUAUUGAAUUGCUUUCACUAUGGCAAAUAAAUAUUCAUAAAGAAAUGUGGACAAUAAAUCAUUUCCAAUAGUUCAAACCAUUUUCUUUCUAGACUGCAUAUAUAUUCAGCUGUGACUUGCCUUUAAUAUUUAAUUCAAAAGACAGACUUGUAGAAGGACAAUAGAGAUAAUGUGUCAAGCAAUAAUUAAAACAGGGGGUAUGAUUAAAACCAUUUUGAUCUACACUGUGCUCUGUCAAACUCAUAAUCUGCCAUGUUUGCUUAGAUGAUUCUCCACUUGCUUUGUAUGGAACCCAAAAUAAACUUUUGUUUGAAGAUACUGCACAGAACAAAAGAUUUCAACCCUAAGCUUUUGGGACCUGGAGACCUUCCCUGCUCUGGGCUUUGGGUAUGUCUUCUCUAUCAUCCUCACAAGACAAAUCUCAGGCAGCCAUCAUCCCUCAAUUUAACAUGGUGACUUCCCUCGGAAGUAGGUCCAUAUACGUGGCACAAUACAACUAGGGGACAAUCCAAUGUAACCUGGUUCACCAUUUAGACUGAAGCUAAGAGCUCCAAAAGAAGUGCAAGUUAAAGAUACAGGGAGUUUAUACACUUGGGGACCCUGGUUCAAAUUCAAAUUCAAAUAAGAGUGAUAUUUCUUGUUUCACUGUGUGUUUUGGCCACCAAAAUACACCUUGUAUUUGUCCCAGCUUCAUUAUCUUUUCUGAUUUGUUGCUGAUUUUGGGCCAUAACUCAAUAGAGCACUUAUGUACAGACUUAAAGAAAUUGAUUUAAGAAAACACUACUCUGUUUAAUCCUGGGCAGACAUUCAACUUUGAAAUCAAUGGGACUUAUGAACAGCCCUGACCUUGGGGUCUAAAUGGUUGCUGAAUCAGUGCAUUGACAGAAACAUACUGGAAAAGAUAAUAUCCAUGUCUAAUCAGAAUGAUCGUCUCUACUUUCAUGGGAAAUUACCCAUAGAUAACACAUUAUUCUGCUCAAGAAAUCCAUUUUAUAGCAGUUAUUAGAAAACCUUAACACAUUUUCUGUUUGUCAGACAUACUAGGUGAACAGUGUCUCUCCUUGAUAGUGUAUCUGAACUAUACUUCAAAUGAAAAAAUAAAUUACAGGAAAAGUGCUGUCACAAGGGACCAUUUCUAAUUAUUUACUGAGUCUUUCCCAGUUGCCUGCUAUGUGCCAGACUUUUGGGAAACAUGUGGACAGAAGACAAAGCAGUGCGGUUCUGAAAUCCCACGGACUCAGUCAAAGACAAUAGCACAUGAAAUACCAUGUUAUGCAAUAUCACGUAAACAAAGCUAUCUCCUAAGAACUGCACUCACAAGGGAUGCCUGCCCAGUCUACAUAUAGAAUUCUAAGUGAACACAUUCUUAUUACACUGAGAAAAUGGUAAGAAUAAAAGGUGUUUGUUUCUGGUAUAAUAACGUACAGAUUGCACUACUUAAGUGCAACUGUGGCUGAAUCCACAUAGUUAAAAGAAGUAAGUAAAGUAGUUGAUGUUAUACUGCAUGAAAUAAAAAUCUUCUUGCCAUUCCUAAAAAUGUUUUACACAAGUCAUUUUUAUUAUAAUUAGAAGUUGGCAAACAGGAUAUCUUAGAUGCUGCUUAUAGAGCUGAAACGGGUUUAAGAGGGGAAAUAAAUUAUAAUGGGUUCUAUUACCUCAUCUAAUUCAGUAAAUGAUGAGCAUGAAGACCCUGAGAAGACAUGGAAAGCAUUAGUGAGUUUUACCUCUCUCUGCAACCCUGGACAGACACCAUGAUUCACAUGAUUCCACUGUUUCUAGGACAAAGCUUAGGAGUAAUACAUAAAAAAAACAGCUGUACUAUUUUAACUGGAUUCAUACUAGUGGAGACUCACAUGGCUACCCGUACCUAUCCUGAUGCUGCCUACUCUAGAGCUGAUGAGUCAGGAGUAUGCAGCUGCUGUAUUGCAUGCUCAUUGCUAACAAGCUCUCUAUACUGCCUGUAAGCCUCUGAGUCAACAUUCCAUUAAUCAAAGGGUAGAAUGUAAUGGGAAAGAACAGGAGGGUGGGAUUUGUCUUCCUAUAUAAUUCUUAAGUUACCAAAAAAAAAAAAAAAAAAAAAAAAAAUUAAAAAAAAAAUCAAAGCUUCUGCCCCUUUUUUCUCAUGUCAUCUACUUUACCCUCAGAGUAGGUGAGGUUAGAGCAAAUCUGCAUUCUAAACCAGGUGCUGCUUCUGAUUGUCUUCCCACAUAUAGUCAUGAAUUGGAGCUAACACCUGUUCUCAAUGAAAUCAGUAAGUACCUAGCAGGACCAACAAGCUUAUAGAGCUCAAGGUGAGGAACAGCUCUUUGUUUGCUUGAGGGCUUUUUCCACCAUGAAGGCUAUCUAGAAGGAGUAAUACAGGUAUAACAUGAUGUUAGGCCCUUCUUCAUUAGUUCUUCGGUUUCUGCUGGAAUCUCGCUGACUUGGAGCAAGCAUUGAUUUAGAGGUAAGUUUUACAACUGAGUUAGGAUCUGGGGUUUCAGAUUUUCAACUUUU